AGAGUUUGAUCCUGGCUCAGAACAAACGCUGGCGGCGUGCCUAACACAUGCAAGUCGAACGAGAAAUCCCGAGCUUGCUUGGGAGAGUAAAGUGGCGCACGGGUGAGUAACGCGUGGGUAACCUACCUUUGAAUCUGGAAUAACCCACCGAAAGGUGGACUAAUACCGGAUAUGGUUUUUUAGGCUUUGGUCUUUUAAAUUAAAGGUGACCUCUUCAUGAAAGUUGCCGUUCAUAGAUGGGCCCGCGUACCAUUAGCUAGUUGGUGGGGUAAUGGCCUACCAAGGCGACGAUGGUUAGCUGGUCUGAGAGGAUGAUCAGCCACACUGGAACUGGAACACGGUCCAGACUCCUACGGGAGGCAGCAGUGAGGAAUUUUGCGCAAUGGGGGAAACCCUGACGCAGCAACGCCGCGUGAGCGAAGAAGGCCCUCGGGUCGUAAAGCUCUGUCAAGUGGGAAAAAAAUCUUUUGAUCAAUAGUCAAAAGACUUGAUGGUACCACUGGAGGAAGCACCGGCUAACUCCGUGCCAGCAGCCGCGGUAAUACGGAGGGUGCAAGCGUUGUUCGGAUUUACUGGGCGUAAAGAGCGUGUAGGCGGUUUAGCAAGUCAGAUGUGAAAGCCCCGGGCUUAACCCGGGAAGUGCAUUUGAAAC
This 652-nucleotide ribosomal RNA is filed under the name uncultured bacterium. RNAcentral describes it as "bacterial SSU rRNA". It matches the Rfam family "Bacterial small subunit ribosomal RNA", at positions 8 to 633 of the family's 1533-position model. The record is from RNAcentral.